GUUCUUGUAGUUGAAAAACAACGGCGGUUUUUCAAGUCGCUGGUCUUGGUUAGAGUCCUGGCAGGAACU
RNAcentral lists this transfer RNA (69 nucleotides) under Chauliodus sloani (Sloane's viperfish). RNAcentral describes it as "tRNA-Glu". It matches the Rfam family "tRNA". From Rfam's summary of the family: Transfer RNA (tRNA) molecules are approximately 80 nucleotides in length. Their secondary structure includes four short double-helical elements and three loops (D, anti-codon, and T loops). Lineage: Eukaryota; Metazoa; Chordata; Actinopteri; Stomiiformes; Stomiidae. RNAcentral also lists the same sequence under 1 other name. The record is from RNAcentral.